GUGCGUGAGGGAGGGUGCGGUCCUCAGAUUGUAGUUCUGUCUGCUCUGUGUAAGCGGAAUCGCAGCAGUUACUGCUGCCUGGAGCUUUAAUAAAACCCACUGAGUUCUUGAUUCUAAAGGUUCGACAAUCGCUCUGCUGUUCUGGCAAAAUGGCAAAUAAUGUGAACUGGAUUCAGCGUUCAAGUGUGCCAAGUUUUGCACAGAUGCUAAAGAAGAAUUUACCUGCUCAAGCUCCAGCUGUGAAUCUGAGCUCCACAGUUUCCACAUGCUGCCCAUAUGUUGAACCUGAUUGUGGAACAGCAAAGGUUACUCAAAUCACAGGUUUUCCACCGAUUACUUUACCUGAACCAUUUUUAUCAGAAAUGAUUGUACCUGCAUCACUCUCCUCACUGCCACCUAGAAAGGUUACAAAGGAAUUUGUGGUGAAAUACAGACAUGGUGACCUCAAUCCUGUUUCUGCUUUAUACCAGUUUGCACAGAUGCAGCGAAUGGAAAUUGAUCUAAAAUCAACUGUAACAACAGUGACAAAACAAUGUUUUUCGCUUGAAUAAGGAAAUGUCUUUGGUGCUUAUUUUGCAUUCUGUGCUGUUAUUGAUGGAAUUGAAUACAAGCCUGGAAUGAGGCAAAAGCAAAUGCUACAAAACGUGCACUUGAUGAACUUCUUCUACAUGAAGAUUCUGAGUUAACAGAUAAGCGCACUUUUAUUCAUGAAAAGAUUUCCUCUAUUAUUAAAGAAACCUUUACUAAUUUAAUAUCCAAAUAUCCUGAAUAUGAAAGCUGUGGUAGCUCAUUAGCUGCGUUUGUCAUUGAAAAAGGCAUUGCUCUACUAUGGUUUAUACAGUCUGGCCUACCUCAAGCAAAGUCGGAUGGCUGACAGAGAGCACACUGCAACCACAGGAAGCACUACACAGUCUUUCAGCUGUGUCCAGCACUCAAAGAAAGUAACCUGCUUGGCCCUAGCCAGGUUAACAGUGGGCACAUGUGAACCUGGACCCUGAUCAUGAACCCCUAGCAAUGAAAUAGUAAUAAGCUUGGAUAUUGGAUCUUUAGACUUUAGCAAGGAAACUCUUCCAUGCUAAUGGGAAGUACUGCAUGGAACCACAGUGGAGCUAUAUUAAAGUUACAGUUAGAAAAAAGUGACAAAAAAAGAAAAUAUGGGGGCACUCUGGAAAUCCAAAAGACAGGCCAUUUGAAAAGUUAAAAGGAAUGUUAUUAUAGAUACUUUUAUAGGCAGUUGCUGCUUUUCUACAGUGGAAGUAAUGGAAUGAUGGACAAGUCCAUAUUUUGCACAGAACCUGCAACCAACCUUCUUGCUCUAAAACCAAAUUUCAAUAUCUUCCUGUACAUGAAUCAGCUUCGAAAAGGUGCUGCUCAGACAAAUCCCCAACUUUUCCUACCUCUGGGGCCAUGUACCAGCAUGUUCCAGUUUUCCCACGGAUGGUCUUGUGGCCAAAAACGCCUUCUGCUGCGAUGCCGAAAUCAGCGAUUUUCAUGUGUCCGUCGCUGGUAAGCAGGAUGUUGUCUGGCUUAAGAUCUCUGCAAGAGAAGGAUAAUGGUGCUUGAUGCCCAGCAGGUUGCUGAGGCUGCCUCCGCCCGCAUACUCCAUGACCAGAAAGGCAUAUUGCUGAGUGCAGAGACAAAAGGGAAGAGAGUGAAACACAGGAACAAGAAACCCCAAACUAUUGCAUGUAAUACAGGCAUGUCCCUCAGCAAAACUAGAUACAGAAAGAACAAGUAUGUUGUGUAAUACUCUAACAUGGCUUUUGUUGCUCAUAUCAUGGCAUUAAGCUGAGCUUUGGGGAUAGGCAACUAGUAAACCAAACGGUAUGGCAGCAUUGGAAGUAACUUACUUUGGUCUGAAAGGCUGCAAGGCCACGGCACAAGAAUGGACUGCCGCAAGCAACCUUCAGGAUUCUGGCCUCCUUCUCUAUCGUUUUCUUCUCCUCGUCCUUGGGUGUCUUCCUGAUGACUUUUACAGCCACGCGUUCUUUCUUCGUGGGGAUGGAAGCCAAAAACACCUGAAAAGUCAAAAAGAAUAAGGGCUAAUUAUUUAAAGGUUCUGUGCACUUUAACAUGCAUGCAAGUUGGUAAAUACUGGGCACAGAAUAAUGAAGAAUGGACAUCAUGGCACCACAAGAAGCAGCACUGGAGUGGAUGGUUAUUAAAUUUGCUUUAGUUGCACCUUGAAGCUGCUGUGGGCUUUUAAUGGGCCUUAUGCACAAGGUGCAAAGCCACACAAGAUAGUCCAUGAGUCCAUGAGGGAGCGCGAAACGCGUCGACUAGUACCUAGAGAGGACCCGUAGUGACUGAAUCGGCGCCUAUUGGUGACGUCACUGGAAGGAGGCGAGCAGCACACUAGCCGUUACCGCCGGCGUGAGUACCUCUCUUUAUCAGAAGUAAGUUCCCGGCCGGGACAUGUGCUUUUUUAAUUAAAGUCUUGGGAUUGUAUUCAGCUCUCCCUAGGCUAGCUCUCCUACUUUUUGCCCGCACAGUAUUGUAAGAUUUACUGAACAUUUAGGUAUAGGGUGUAUAUUGUGCAUCAAUACAGGCUUACUUUCCCCGUUAACUUAUUUUUAGACUAACCUGCAAGUUUCUUCUGCCUAGGCUGAGUAUUCUUUGAGUGGGGAAUCGAUCUUUUAUCUGCUGCUAAUUGGGGUCUGAUAAAUGGUUUAUCCUCUUCUUUGUUUUUAACCUAAAUUCUCUAUACCUUUUGUAUUAGAUAUGUGGGAUAGGUAAUUUGACCUCAGUGUUUUUUAUGUGUAUUAAUUGUGGUUUCUCUUCCUUCUCUAUGGGAUUUUUAGAAUAGGUUUCCUAAGGUGACUUGCUCUUAGGUUUUUAGUGUGGUCUCCCUUACAAUCAAUAAACUUAUGUUUAGGUAUUUUAUCCUGUACCUGGAAUCUAAUAGAUAUUGGUUCAGAGUGUGGGUGAAUUAAUUUAUUGUCCAUUUGUGCCAUUAUUUUUAAUUGAUACUUUUUAUAUAGUGGGUAUGCAUUAAUUAGUAUUUAUCUGUAUCACUAAUGAAUUGUAAUUUUGUUAUAUCACUAUUGAAUUGUAAUCAUGUUGUAACACACAAGAAUUUUUCAUAAUAAAUUUAAAAUUAUUAUA
This is an RNA transcript of Xenopus tropicalis (tropical clawed frog), 3105 nucleotides long. It is a transcript of the gene named provisional ortholog of adenosine deaminase domain containing 1, with no coding region annotated. The transcript is spliced from 10 exons. The record is from RefSeq and is a predicted model, not a curated record. NCBI's taxonomy places the organism in Eukaryota, Metazoa, Chordata, Amphibia, Anura, Pipidae.